This 224-nucleotide ribosomal RNA is filed under the name Providencia rettgeri. RNAcentral's name for it is "partial 23S ribosomal RNA". It matches the Rfam family "Bacterial large subunit ribosomal RNA", at positions 1 to 225 of the family's 2925-position model. The record is from RNAcentral. Lineage: Bacteria; Pseudomonadati; Pseudomonadota; Gammaproteobacteria; Enterobacterales; Morganellaceae.
GGUUAAGCGACUAAGCGUACACGGUGGAUGCCUAGGCAAUCAGAGGCGAUGAAGGACGUGCUAAUCUGCGAUAAGCGUCGGUAAGGUGAUAUGAACCGUUACAACCGACGAUUUCCGAAUGGGGAAACCCAGUGCAAUUCGUUGCACUAUCGUUUGAUGAAUACAUAGUCAAACGAAGCGAACCGGGGGAACUGAAACAUCUCAGUACCCCGAGGAAAAGAAAU